This 500-nucleotide ribosomal RNA is filed under the name uncultured Halorhabdus sp. RNAcentral's name for it is "bacterial SSU rRNA". It matches the Rfam family "Archaeal small subunit ribosomal RNA", at positions 1 to 514 of the family's 1478-position model. The record is from RNAcentral. Lineage: Archaea; Methanobacteriati; Methanobacteriota; Halobacteria; Halobacteriales; Haloarculaceae.
UUCCGGUUGAUCCUGCCGGAGCAAUUGCUAUCGCGGUCCGAUUUAGCCAUGCUGAUCGCACGUUUUCAGACCGAUCUUGAAAAACUCAGUGACACGUGGCCAAACUACUCUGUGUAUCGGGACAACCUCGGGAAACUGAGGCUAAUCCGGAAUAGGGCUCACAGCCUGAAGUGGCGUGAGUCCGAAACGCUCCCGCGCCACAGGAUGUGGCUGCGAAUGAUUAGGUUGACGGUGGGGGAACGGCCCACCGUGCCCAUAAUCGGUACGGGUUGUGAGAGCAAGAGCCCGGAGACGGGAUCUGAGAACAGAUACCGGGCCCUACGGGGCGCAGGAGGCGUGAAACCUUUAACUGCGCGAGAUAUCUAAAGGGGACACCGAGUGCUACGGAUAUAGUCCUCGUUUUCUGUCUGUUGGGAGAGAAAGAAUAAGGGCUGCGCAAGUGGAGGCAGCCGCCGCGUAAUUCCUCAGUGGGGUGAUGCCCGAAAUUUAUUGCUCCUAAA